Mytilus californianus (California mussel) is the source of this 484-nucleotide long non-coding RNA. RefSeq lists it as uncharacterized. The record is from RefSeq and is a predicted model, not a curated record. The transcript is spliced from 4 exons. NCBI's taxonomy places the organism in Eukaryota, Metazoa, Mollusca, Bivalvia, Mytilida, Mytilidae.
UGUGUUUUUGCUACCUAGAACAACAAUGCACAUUUCUAUAUAAAUGUCGCUGCAUAACAGUUAAGUGUUCACUUGAGAAAGACAUCACCGAACUGUAAGCUGAAACUAAUCAUGUCGAUAAUUCCAUUGUUAUUUCUUGUAUUGGUUGCUUGUGUUUACGCACAGAGCCUUGACAACGUCGACGAAGAAACAAAUGAUCUAGUCAAAAGGCACAGGAUUCAAGUAGGCGGUCAUGUUCAGUUUAGAAACGGAUGGCGUGUUGGUGGCCAUUUUCAUCAUGGAUGGGGAUCUCAUCGCGGAACAGGAGGUGGCAUUUCAAUCUCGAAGUCCUGGGGCAAAAAGAGAGCAUCAACUGUCUGCAUGUCAAGAUGUGCAUAUGCCUGCAGAAAUUCUACAGUUAAAUGUAUGAAGAGCUGUCUUAUGAAUAUGUGCUGAUAUGAUCUCUGAUGUUUUGUUUUGAAAUAAAGAGUAAUCAUAUGUUGAA